AACCAAAGUGCUGGUAUCCAAAACACAAAGACUGUAAUCAUUGUUCCUCACUGUCUCUUUCUUUUAUUUCUUCUAUUACACAAGCUUUAAAAAUACAUUCACACCAGUGUCCUAGUAUAUGCAAUAAGCGAUUUAAGCCACAAGUCACAUUUGCACACAACUUUUUCCUGUUUAACCACGCCCACACUGAUAACACUUCGAAAGACAUGAUAGAAAGGCCGUAUCACUUCUCAUCUGCGUGUCUGUGUUGCGAUUAGAAAACAUGACAAGUAAGAGUAUAUUUUUAAGUCGAUCUUUUUCAGAGUAUCUUUUAGUAUCUUAAAGUACUUUGAGCAGUCAUAAGACUUCAAAAAUGGGCUGUUUUAAAGUGUAAUUUUUUCCUGUGCUUGCUGAUUACAACAACUUAAAAAAAAAUAUAUUACUAUUCUGCUAGUUUUACCAGGUUCAUGUCAUUAAGUAUACUUUGCUUUAAUUGCUUUUUGGCAUGAGGGACUGACAGGAUGCAGCAGCAGACUGAACCUCGACUGAAACCUGCUCCAUCAUCUCAUCUUUGCAGAUGUCCAUUUAUAAAGCAUCAACAACUCAAAGGAGCCGUCCUCAGCACCACCCAGUGACAGAUCAUCCUAUAUCUUCAAUCUUUGUAGUAACUCCAAAAUUAACUGAAGAAAACAGUACAAAGGUUAAAGUACCACAUGUGCUGUCAGUGAAAGCUGCAGCUGUUUUAUUGAUAAAUUUAAAGACAAAAGGAUUAAUCACCCCUGUAACUGUCAUUAUUAGUAAUGUGCGAAUCAUGAACAUGAAUAUCGUUCAAUACUCGAGAAUCACUUUACUGAC
Molecule: long non-coding RNA, 834 nt
Organism: Maylandia zebra (zebra mbuna)
Lineage: Eukaryota; Metazoa; Chordata; Actinopteri; Cichliformes; Cichlidae
Source: RefSeq, a predicted model, not a curated record